UCUGUAAUGAACUUCUAAUGCAUU
Molecule: non-coding RNA, 24 nt
Filed under: Cricetulus griseus (Chinese hamster)
Lineage: Eukaryota; Metazoa; Chordata; Mammalia; Rodentia; Cricetidae
Source: RNAcentral